This 404-nucleotide transfer-messenger RNA is filed under the name Bacteroides sp. It matches the Rfam family "transfer-messenger RNA". Rfam says of the family: Bacterial tmRNA, also known as 10Sa RNA or SsrA, is named for its dual tRNA and mRNA-like properties. Lineage: Bacteria; Pseudomonadati; Bacteroidota; Bacteroidia; Bacteroidales; Bacteroidaceae. RNAcentral also lists the same sequence under 1 other name. The record is from RNAcentral.
GGGGUUGAAAGGAUUUGACAGAUGUAUGUUUGAUAUUUAAGCAUGUAAACUUUUGUGGAUGUAGUUUUAAAUUAAGUCCUCAUUUUAAAUAUAAAAGGCGAAAAUAACGAUUACGCUCUUGCUGCUUAGUUAUAUUGCUAAUUAAGUAUUUUUCUCAUAGUGGGAAAAACAAGAUAUCUUUUAAAUCAUUUAUUGAUUGAUUUAUUCAUAAGAUACUUAUUUAUAUCAAUAUAUAAAUUGAAAAAUUCUAUAUUUUUUUUGAUUUAGAAAUAAAUAUAAUAUAGAUAUGCUAUAUACAUAUUUUUAUAUAUAUUAUAUAGUGAAUAAUGAUAUAUAAAUAAACAUGUAGAAAUUAUAUUAAUAAUUAUAUUUGGACGAGGGUUCGAAUCCCUCCAACUCCAUUU